Molecule: unclassified non-coding RNA, 205 nt
Filed under: plant metagenome
Description: partial contains small subunit ribosomal RNA and internal transcribed spacer 1
Rfam family: Eukaryotic small subunit ribosomal RNA (bases 1-47)
Source: RNAcentral
AAUGUCGUAACAAGGUUUCCGUAGGUGAACCUGCGGAAGGAUCAUUAUCGUAGGGGCUUCGGCCCUGUCGAGAUAGAACCCUUGCCUUUGAUGAGUACCGUCCGUUUCCUCGGCAGGUCCGCCUGCCGUGGACAAAAAAAAUUUUGAAAAGCCCGUUUCAUCACCUGUAUCAGUCUGAAAAAAGGCAAAUAAAAAUUUUCAAAAG